This 85-nucleotide transfer RNA is filed under the name Nitrososphaerota archaeon. RNAcentral's name for it is "Thaumarchaeota archaeon tRNA-Leu". It matches the Rfam family "tRNA". From Rfam's summary of the family: Transfer RNA (tRNA) molecules are approximately 80 nucleotides in length. Lineage: Archaea; Thermoproteati; Nitrososphaerota. The record is from RNAcentral.
GCGGGAGUUGCCAAGCAUGGUCAAAGGCGCGAGGCUCAGAACCUCGUCUCUCAGGGGUCCGUGGGUUCAAAUCCCACCUCCCGCA